This 403-nucleotide small RNA is filed under the name Pseudomonas sp. TTU2014-080ASC. RNAcentral describes it as "Pseudomonas sRNA CrcZ". It matches the Rfam family "Pseudomonas sRNA CrcZ". Lineage: Bacteria; Pseudomonadati; Pseudomonadota; Gammaproteobacteria; Pseudomonadales; Pseudomonadaceae. The record is from Rfam by way of RNAcentral.
ACAACAACAAUAACAAGCAGCACAUAAAAUAAUAAAAAUAAGAUUCAUCGGCUCCAGCCCAAUAAAAACAAUAACGCGGAGGCGCAGCUAACUGAUUCUUUUGGAAAGGAUGUGUGUUUGGGGUUCGCCCCGAAACCGGGCAGAGAACAAUAAAACUGCACUAAUGCAGCGCCAGAACCGGUUGGAUCACUCUGUGAUCAAUGCAAUAUCAGCGUCCAAAGCAAUCCGUUUGCUCCUGAUUCCCAACUUGGGAAUUUUUAUAAACAUCCUUGACCGGAUGGAACGGGUAACCAAACAAAAACAACAAGCCCGAAAUAACAAUAAAAAAAGAGCACGCACCAAUUUGGGGGGGAGCUUCGGCUCCCCCAGUAGCUUCCAGAAUCUCCCCUCCUGCAGCACUCUC